UUUGCGCCUGUCAUGCCGGUGAAAGCUCUCAUCCUCAACGUCGCCUGCUACCGCUCCAGCGCCUAACGCCGAACGUUACCACUCCAACCGGCCGGCGCCGGCUCCCGCCCCCACUCCGGCGCUCACCUCUGGCACCCCAACAACGCCCGCGCCCCACGCUCCCGGCUGCCGUCGCGCCCGCGCUUCCGGCCGACGCUGACUCCGUCGCCUGCUCCCGCGGUCCCGCCCCAACUAAUCCGGUGCACUACUGAUGGGAAAUGAUAUUUUUCAGAACAAUUUGGAAAGGAUUUUACCAUAGCAUUGCUGAUUGGAAAGAGAACUCAGAACGUCAAGUUUGCACGGGAGACGACAAACACCAAUAUAAUGGCCAUGUAGCGCAUUGAGAACAUAGGAACACCUCACCAGCAAUGGUUGUGAGCAAGAUGGAUUUGCCACGAUAAAUUUACUAGAAUCUGUUGAACUUUGAAUUUUAAUCUAGCUAUAGUCCUAUACUGGCUCUUUGCUUUCAAUUUCUUUCUGUGCUUUUUGUUAUCCUUCUUUUAUAGAUGACAACAACAAGGCUGGAUUUGUUGGACACCAUUCUACAAUACACUAGAUUCUAUUAUUAUUGAGGUGGUGAUAAAUGUAUAUGCUUCCUAACCGUAAGAUGUGAGCAGUGUGUCAUCUUCUAUGCAAAUUAUGUUUAAGCAUUGAGGAAUUUUUUUCUUCAAUUUAAGGUGUGACCUUGUUAGCUCAAAUUAUCCUAUGAUCCGAAUGUUGCAAUGGUACACUAAGAUAUA
Molecule: long non-coding RNA, 779 nt
Organism: Oryza brachyantha (malo sina)
Lineage: Eukaryota; Viridiplantae; Streptophyta; Magnoliopsida; Poales; Poaceae
Exons: 3
Source: RefSeq, a predicted model, not a curated record